Non-coding RNA from Nothobranchius furzeri (turquoise killifish), 3752 nucleotides. NCBI's taxonomy places the organism in Eukaryota, Metazoa, Chordata, Actinopteri, Cyprinodontiformes, Nothobranchiidae. The record is from RefSeq and is a predicted model, not a curated record.
ACUCCCCACCAAGAGCAGACUUUUACCUGCACUAGGUUGGGUUUGAUUGGUGGAAUUUAUUGUUUUUUUUCAAGAUGGCAUCGGACAAAAGCGUCCAAAUCCCAAGCCUGUUUUUGUGCCGUACCUGAGCCCCCUAGUCCUGUGCAAAGAGCUGGAAACCCUGUUGGAGAACGAGGGGAAUCAGGUGACCUCUCACAGUCUGCUCAGUGUGUCCCAGACUGAUACCAUGUUUCCAACACCUCUGUUCUGUCUGAUCAGGUCAUCUACACACACAAGUUCUUCAGCCAGCAUCCCAUUAUUUUCUGGAACCUGGUGUUGUAUUUCCGCUGCCUGGACCUUCCCACCCACCUGUCGGGCCUCAUUCUGAACUCUGAACACUGCAACAAUGGAGUACAGGUUAAACAGCAUGUUGCUUUGUUCCCUUAUUCCUUCAGCCUGAGUCGCAUAAAAUCUGCAGAUCAGUGUUGGUGUUCAGCAUGAAUGUGUUUUUGCAGCUUCCCCUGGCAUCCCUGUCUCAAGACAGUGAACAUGUUUACACAAAGCUGCUGUGGGACAACAUCAACCUGCACCAGGAACCCGGAGAACCUCUGUACCUGCUCUGGAGAACCUUCUGUGUGACGGGAAGCUUCAUGUUGUAGAAAGAGAGCACCACCACUAGAGGGCACUAGAACAUUCCACAUGUCAUAGCCGAAAUGUUUAUUAUUUUGGAUGGAGUGGCCAGAAGUCAUUAGAUACUGCUGCUUUUUGUGUUGUAGUGGAGAAGAAGGGGACUUUGGCUCUAACGGACCACCAGGAGAUCCGAACCCUCCUGAACACCAUCGUCCGUAACAUCCAGACGAACGACGUCUACGGCCCCAUCAACCUGCUGGUACGAGAGAUCAAAUGGCAGCCAGAUAGAGUCAAAUGACAGAGGUCAGCCUUGUCUGCUCUGACGUUGGUUUGUUGUGUUUAUAAGCAGAACAUUUUUGAUGUUUGUUUGCUUUCUCAGGAGUAUAUAUAGACAUCCUCUUCCUGUCACUGGCAGCCUUGGGACCGGAGACCAUCGACGUGGAGGCCUUCGACCGUGAGUACCGCCAGGCGUACGACGAACUGAGCUCGGAGCAGCUCAAGUCUCUGCAGCGCAUCGAUUGCCCUCCCACCUCCAAUAUCCAGUGGUGCCUUAAAUGUUUUAGACCCCCAGUCAUCUGAGCCCCUCGGAUCUCAAGAACGUUUUAGAAAAUCCCUCCAGUCGCUGAACAUGGUACUCAUGUCUUUGAAGCUGCGGCUCCCCUGCUUCUCUCCUGUUGUAUGUAUUUUCGCUCUUCUCAGAAAGCGGUGAUGUUUUGGGUCUCAUUGAGCCAUAUUUCACAACCAUAACCGAACAGAAUGUCCACGAGUGGAUUUACUAACCGUCUCCAGAUCAGAUACAGAGCAGAGAAAACCGACUGCUUUUGUGCUCCUUCUGUAAAUAUACUUUUUUCUACAUAGUUUCCAUUUGAGUGAAGCCUGAAACCUUAGGUGCAGGGCCGAAUUACCAUCGCAGGGCCCCUGGGCACAAUGUGCAUCCUCAAAUCGGUGACAAACAUAAGUCCUUUAAGGCAGCUCAUCAAGAGCUGAUUUACUCCAGCUGGGCCUGGUAGGAUCCAUGGAGUGUCACUCUCCAUGGUGCUGAACAUGCUGAGUGUCGGCUGGAGCGCUGCUCUCCAGGGUGCUGAUCCACUGGGCAUAGACAGAACGAGCUUUAAAGAGACCAUGGGGCCACUGACCCUUCUCAGGAUGGGACAGCAAAACCCAGGGCUCAUAACAAAGCUAAGCAUUCUAGCUUUCCGUACGGAUGAGUGGCAGCGAUGUCUCAUUCCGCGAGCAUGUAUUAUCCCAGCAUUUGAACACGAGAGCCACGUUAUUCUGUUUAGCUGAAGAGGUUUAUUUUCUUCUUGAUUUAAACCAAAUUGAAGGCUUAGUAGCCAACCAGCUAGCUAACGUUAAGCAUGCAGACUUUUCCGUCCACUCUCCUCGGUUCUCUGUUUCAAGUUACCCACGUUCUGUUUUGAGUGUAUGUGUGUGUGCAUGGAUAUAAUGCAUGUCUAAAAAUAACAUACAGACUUAGUUGGCUUUGAUGUAGUCAUGCUGUGGGUUUCUGAAUACAUGUGACUAAGUUCAUUACAGUGACAGGCGGCUAAAUCUGCUAACUGUUGAGAUGAAUCCAAAUUAUUUUUUUUUUCAUUUUCAAUUUCUUGAUAAAAUUAUUAGAAAUUUUAAAUUCUGAUUUAAUAGAAAUGUUUACAAUACUAAUCUAAAUUCCUUUUGUGAUGCAUUCACAGUUUGACUAUUAACAUUGAUUUACUUCUUGUGUUCUUCAAUGUGUCUUUCAUUUUUAUUUUCCUUAUCGGAUACAUACAAAUUCAUACAUAUUUCCAUUACUUUGAUUACCGUUGAUUACUUUAUCACAAAUUUUUUAUGCUUUCAAUUUCAACUUUUUGUCAGUUAUGAGCCACUGAUUACUUUGCUUUUCCAUUUUGGAUUUCAUUAAUUGCUUUCAAAAGUUUUUUUCCACUCUUGCAUAUAUUAUAGGGUUUUGUUGAUUUUGUUCAUUUAUGCACCUUUUCCAGUAUACAUAGUUUACUACAUCGACAUCUUUCAGUUGAUUUCCUUCCACAUAAUCUCCAGUCACAUAGCACAUAUAGGGUACACAUAGUCCUAGUGUUUUUUUAUUUGUUCUUUUCCAUCAGACGUCAUCUAUGUGGGUCUAUGGUCAAAUGCCCCGUGUGUGCGUUUGGAUGGUUUGCUGAGUUUCGACAGAUGUCUGGUGAGGACAUCAUUGCCUUCUUCGUCUGUCUCCUGGCUCUGCUUCCUCUUGGCCUGGGUUCUGGUUCUUCUGAAGUUCUGGAAGUCCUCUGGGAAUUCCUGUCUUCUGGCUUCGCUGUGAUUCGAUAUGGUCUGGUUUGCUUCUCCUCAUGGCUCUGACUUCCUUCUUAUCGUGGUCCCUGCCUGAAGAUUUCGCUAAUUAGGAUUACAAUUUGCUGAUUGGGAUAUCUAUUGACUGCUCUGCUGUGAGGGUUUGGUUUUCUUCACUCCUGCUGCUUUUGGUGACUAAGAACUAACUCUGUCUUCCUCUGCUGAGUCCUCAGGGCCUCUGAUGUUAUCACUCACCAAUUAUGUGUAAUAACUGUACACACGCUGUUCACCCUAACAGCAGCCUGGUGGGAUCUGGGAUCAAUUAAAUGAAUGCACAGAACACAAAUAAAAGUUGAUUUUUCUAUAAAGAAGAUAACACAAAUGUGAAGUAACAGAACAUUUUAUUUCACAAAUAAUAUGAACACUUUACUUUUAACAGGCUAUCCCCUUUCUGUCAAAAUAGGAGUCGUUUCCUGUUUUGCAUUUCUAUUCUUCUGUACUCUGUAUUUGUUGGUCUGUUUCAGCGGGGCAUACACAGUGCAACAUUAACUCCUUCAAUAUUGAGCCCCCAAAGCAAGUCAAAAACACAAAGCAAUUAAGUCUACACUCAUAUAAAAAUAAAUCAAUUGCAAACAUGAAAACAUACAUCGAUCUCAUACAAUAAAGUCCUAUAGAAAAUAUUUUUUCUUUACAUAUAUAUAAUAUACAUCAAUAAAAUAACUGUCCUGUACAAUGUACACCUGAAUAUUUAAGACAGGUGAGAGGUACAUAAGUGUAUGGCUUGAUUGGAAAAAUAAUUACUUAUUUACAAUUUUACCUUUACAUCUUUUUAAAUGUUUUUGACUUCCCUGGAAUGAAAAGGCAUCAAAAAAUGCCCA